UACGAAGGGGGCUAGCGUUGCUCGGAAUUACUGGGCGUAAAGGGUGCGUAGGCGGCGCGGUAAGUCGGGUGUGGAAUCUCGGAGCUUAACUCCGAAACUGCAUUCGAUACUGCCGUGCUUGAGGACUGGAGAGGAGACUGGAAUUUACGGUGUAGCGGUGAAAUGCGUAGAUAUCGUAAGGAAGACCAGUGGCGAAGGCGGGUCUCUGGACAGUUCCUGACGCUGAGGCACGAAGGUCAGGGGAGCAAACGGG
This 253-nucleotide ribosomal RNA is filed under the name uncultured bacterium. RNAcentral describes it as "partial 16S ribosomal RNA". It matches the Rfam family "Bacterial small subunit ribosomal RNA", at positions 524 to 776 of the family's 1533-position model. The record is from RNAcentral.